GACGAACGCUGGCGGCGUGCCUAAUACAUGCAAGUUGAGCGAUGAAGAUUGGUGCUUGCACCAAUUUGAAGAGCAGCGAACGGGUGAGUAACGCGUGGGGAAUCUGCCUUUGAGCGGGGGACAACAUUUGGAAACGAAUGCUAAUACCGCAUAACAACUUUAAACAUAAGUUUUAAGUUUGAAAGAUGCAAUUGCAUCACUCAAAGAUGAUCCCGCGUUGUAUUAGCUAGUUGGUGAGGUAAAGGCUCACCAAGGCGAUGAUACAUAGCCGACCUGAGAGGGUGAUCGGCCACAUUGGGACUGAGACACGGCCCAAACUCCUACGGGAGGCAGCAGUAGGGAAUCUUCGGCAAUGGACGAAAGUCUGACCGAGCAACGCCGCGUGAGUGAAGAAGGUUUUCGGAUCGUAAAACUCUGUUGGUAGAGAAGAACGUUGGUGAGAGUGGAAAGCUCAUCAAGUGACGGUAACUUCCCAGAAAGGGACGGCUAACUACGUG
Molecule: ribosomal RNA, 497 nt
Filed under: uncultured bacterium
Lineage: Bacteria
Description: partial 16S ribosomal RNA
Rfam family: Bacterial small subunit ribosomal RNA
Source: RNAcentral